CGACGAGCAGGCACGAUAGCGU
RNAcentral lists this microRNA (22 nucleotides) under Euprymna scolopes. RNAcentral describes it as "Esc-Mir-12531_5p (mature (co-guide))". RNAcentral also lists the same sequence under 2 other names. Lineage: Eukaryota; Metazoa; Mollusca; Cephalopoda; Sepiida; Sepiolidae. The record is from RNAcentral.